AUGGGGUAACUAUGCGGUGCGAGAAGCCAAUUGGGUGCUCGAGGAGACUAUGCGAAGAGAGUAUCCGCAUCUAUUCGAGUCAACGAGUUAAGGUACGGUUAAUUUCGCGAACGAAAUUAUUUUAAGGGGUGGAGAAUGUAAUAUAUCGAAACUUCGGUAAACGAAUAUCGAACUUUAGUUAAAUUGACCAAAGUGCAAGAUUGGUACGCUUUUGAAAUGCCGAA
Molecule: long non-coding RNA, 224 nt
Filed under: Ananas comosus (pineapple)
Lineage: Eukaryota; Viridiplantae; Streptophyta; Magnoliopsida; Poales; Bromeliaceae
Description: long non-coding RNA (ACOM_LNC003554)
Source: RNAcentral